AUGGAUCACGACCUAAAAAUUGUGAUUUGGAAUGUGCGCUGGCUUAACGCACGCGCGCGACGCACUGCCGUCCGCUCGCUAAUUGUUACUAGUGGCGCCUCCAUUGUAUGUUUGCAAGAGACUAAGAUGGCUUUGAUCUGCUCGUCGGUUGUCCUUGAGGCGCUCGGCUCCGAGUUCGACGAGUACGUGUACUUGUCGGUGGAUGACACCCGCGGUGGCAUCCUGCUGGCGUGGAAAAGUCGGGUGGUGACCAUCACUAACCCUGAGUUCACCACGCACACGUUGUCGGCCCAGGUCACUCCCCCCUCAAGCCAGCACCCGCCUUGGUGGUUGCCCAUCGUGUAUGGGCCUCAACUGGAUGACGAGAAGAUCGAGUUCCUUCGUGAACUCCAUGACCUACGCGCCUCUUGCCCAGGGCCAUGGAUGCUUUGCGGUGACUUCAACUUGAUCUACCGCGACGAAGACAAAAACAACAACUUGGACAGACGCAUGAUGAGGCGGUUCAGACACUUGCUCAAUGACUUGGCGCUCAAGGAGGUCUACCUUAACGGGCGCCGUUACACAUGGUCUAACGAGCGCUCCCCUCCAACCCUGGUCCAC
RNAcentral lists this ribosomal RNA (600 nucleotides) under Triticum aestivum (bread wheat). RNAcentral's name for it is "partial small subunit ribosomal RNA". Lineage: Eukaryota; Viridiplantae; Streptophyta; Magnoliopsida; Poales; Poaceae. The record is from RNAcentral.